AGAGGGUUGGCAGAGCGGUUUAAUGCGGCGGUCUUGAAAACCGUUGUACUUGCGAGAGUACCGGGGGUUCGAAUCCCUCACCCUCUA
Molecule: non-coding RNA, 87 nt
Organism: Candidatus Amoebophilus sp. 36-38
Lineage: Bacteria; Pseudomonadati; Bacteroidota; Cytophagia; Cytophagales; Amoebophilaceae
Source: Rfam